Molecule: ribosomal RNA, 466 nt
Filed under: uncultured bacterium
Lineage: Bacteria
Description: bacterial SSU rRNA
Rfam family: Bacterial small subunit ribosomal RNA
Source: RNAcentral
CUACGGGAGGCAGCAGUGGGGAAUCUUGCGCAAUGCGCGAAAGCGUGACGCAGCAACGCCGCGUGGGGGAAGAAGGCUUUCGGGUUGUAAACCCCUUUCAGUUGGGACGAAGCCUCGGCGGUGAAUAGCCGUUCGGGGUGACGGUACCUUCACAAGAAGCACCGGCUAACUACGUGCCAGCAGCCGCGGUAAUACGUAGGGUGCAAGCGUUGUCCGGAAUUAUUGGGCGUAAAGAGCGUGUAGGCGGCCCGACCAGUCCGCUGUGAAAGUCCAGGGCUCAACCCUGGAAUGCCGGUGGAUACUGUCGGGCUAGAGUCCGGAAGGGGCGAGUGGAAUUCCUGGUGUAGCGGUGAAAUGCGCAGAUAUCAGGAGGAACACCAAUGGCGAAGGCAGCUCGCUGGGACGUGACUGACGCUGAGACGCGAAAGCGUGGGGAGCAAACAGGAUUAGAUACCCGGGUAGUCCC